GCUUUUUAUAGCUCAGUCGGUAGAGCAUGAGGCUCUUAAUCUCAGGGUUGUGGGUUUGAGCCCCAUGUUGGGCA
Podarcis lilfordi (Lilford's wall lizard) is the source of this 74-nucleotide non-coding RNA. NCBI's taxonomy places the organism in Eukaryota, Metazoa, Chordata, Lepidosauria, Squamata, Lacertidae. The record is from the annotation of a GenBank genome assembly.